RNAcentral lists this non-coding RNA (118 nucleotides) under Iodobacter fluviatilis. The record is from RNAcentral. Lineage: Bacteria; Pseudomonadati; Pseudomonadota; Betaproteobacteria; Neisseriales; Chitinibacteraceae.
UAGCGGGUUAAAGUCCCGCCCGAGGAAUUGUUCAUGUGCCUCGGUAGUACGAAAGAGCGGCGUUUGAGUAAUCAAGGGUCGUGAGUUCUUUACGACAAAGAGGCAGACUGUAACGAAA